CAGAGUUGCAAAGCUCCCAAACCACUGUGAACAUACCCGUUACCGUUGCCUCGGCGGGUGGCCCCAGGGCGGGGCCGCCAGCCUCCCCCAGAGGGAGGUGCCCGCCGCGGGCCCCGAAACUAUGAUUCUGCUCUUGGUAUCUCUGAGUUAGCACUUCAAAAUAAGUCA
Molecule: unclassified non-coding RNA, 168 nt
Filed under: uncultured Sordariomycetes
Lineage: Eukaryota; Fungi; Ascomycota; Sordariomycetes
Description: sequence contains ITS1
Source: RNAcentral